AGGGCGGCAGGGCGGGGGCCGCCCACCCGGGAGACGGAAAAAAGUCUCGGCCGAAGGUGCCGGGAUCCGCGAGGAGAGUUCUGCCGUGCUUCUCUCUUACAGAAACCCGAGCUGUCCCGUGCUUACUUCCCUGAGCCAGGCUGAUGUCAGGGCUGUGCGUCGUGGAGCCGGCUGUGAAAUCCUUCUGACAGCCCUGCUGGGGUCUCUCCUCCUGGAAACUCCCAACGCUAACAGGCCCUGCUGCGCCCAGCUUAGCAGGGGAAGCCAGACUCAGCUGGAGACUUUCUGCUCAUACGAGUGUGUGGGUUGCGAAACAGCAGGGUGCUCUUCAAAGGAUGUCCUCCAACAGAGCCUUUGGUCUCCAUACCUGAAGCAUGUUAAGUUUUGGCUGAAUUGCAAAGCGUCUUCUUUUCUCUGUCAGUCUUAAGGCCCUGGUAGCAGAAAUGGACUUGGCUACUUUUGAACUGCAGUGGGGUCUACAGUCUGUUUGAUAAAGCAUCUUUAGCAGAAUAAGAUAGGUAUUCUUUUCUGGGGGAAAAAUUGAGUAAAAGCUCCAGUGAAUAAAUACAAGUUGUUUUCAACACUCUCCUCCUGGACUCCUGCUGUUGAGUGACUGCAAAAUUCGGAGAGAUUAUUUUGGCAGUUCCAAAAGUCUGUCACACAGAUCUGAGCUUUUUUUUCCUUGUAUUUGUCAAUGUGUGACUAAGCACAAGUAUUACAGGAAGCAUGGAAAUGUUUGGGCUUUAAAGAAUGGUUGUGGAAAAAGACCUCCUACUGAUUAACGACUGCUGUUUAAUAAAAUAAUUUUUGGAUGUCCAAAUUGCUGAUUGUUCCGCUGAGGGUUACGUUCUGACCAGAAGGGAUCCCACCAGUCCCAUGUCAUCAGCCCGGGCACUUUGUGAAGGGUUUUUUCUGCCGCCAUUUCCUGCUUCAAAACAAUGAAGGAUGAGAGAUACCCAUCGUUACUCCCCAUGGUGCAGGGAUGUGUUCAUCUCAGUCUCUAGGGUGGCUUCAAAAUCUGAGAGGGAGCCAGAACAGUCUCACUGAGGUACAAGGAAGCAUCUUUGCUUGAGAGAUGCAACCCUUUGCUUGAUUAGGAAGGCCCAGCUAGAAGGGAAAACCAGAAUGUGUCUCACUAAAACACUGAGAGUCAUUGUGGGUGUGCUGGGAGGAAUUUCCCUCUUCUGCAGUUCUCUUUCCAUGGCAGGACCCUGGCUCAGCUGGCUGCUUGCAGGCUGCUCUCGUGCUUCCUUCAGUAGGGCUUGGACUCGGAUUGCUCAUUGCACUCUAAACUCCUGGCGCUUGGACUGUUUUGUUUUAGUAGCACGCUGUGCCAAAUCAAUUUCUCACACAUGCAAUCACUCAUACCUGUUUCAUUUUAAGCUCUUUCCUGAUGUGCUGCAAGGCUUGUGUCUUACUUGCUGUCUUGUGAGAUGCUUGCAGAGUGCUGCUGGAUGGUCUUCUACAAGUGACAUGCACAAUGCUACAGGCAAAUGCUGCAGCUUAAAGCACGGCCACAUUCAUGGCUGGUCCGGCAUGCUCUUUGCAACGUGUUUCCUCUCUCAUUAUCUCUGGGAUAAUACACAGCUUCAGCUCUCCAUGCAAUUGUGCGUUCUUAGUCUACAUGUGGCUGCAGACAGCAAAUUGAUGAUACCACCACAUUUUUGUUGUUUUUUUUUUCACAGGCAGGCAGCAGAUGCCAGGAAGUGUUGCUUAUUAACAUUAAUCAUUACUCUGUUGAUAGCCCUGGGCAAGCUGCUGUAAUUGACCAGAACCAAAUUCAGUAAUCAUAUCAUGGAAAAUAUACUUCACAUUUAUUUCACAUCUGAAUUACAGUAAUAUGAAUUCAUGGCAAAAUUCUCGGUGUCUACGUCAGAAGCAGGAGAAGAGCCUUUGUCUGCUAGCACAGAUGUAACUGAGCUGUUAAUCACAGUCUGCUAUGCUUAGGCAGAAUGCUAAGGCUAAAUCGAGAAGUCAUAAAAUUAUCCUCCAGGAUCUUGUAGACCAAAUCCUAUUCAGAUAAAUAAAGAGAAGUCUCUUUAUAGUGUUUGUAGAACUGUGUUUUCCAUUUGUGUUUUCCAUUGUUUUCUUUGAGCAUUACCCUUCAGUAGAUGGGACUGCCACGAUCUCUUCAAAGAAUAUAAAUGCUCUAAUAAGAAUGUGUAAAAAGGCCUUCCAAUAAGACAGUUGCAGAAGCAUUUCUUUUUACCAAAUUAUCAACAGAAAAUCAUUAGAACAAACAAACAACAGCUGAAGAGUAAAGCGGCAAGAAGAAACACAUCUGAGGUUUAAUUUGAUCACUUUAUGCCUGGAAAACAGAAUGUGGAGUUAGUUAUUGAACAGUAUUUGUAUCACAUUGACUAUUGUGUUAAUGAAUUCAAUUUUUAUUAAAUAGCAUCAACAUGUUAGAUAUUACAUUGGAAAGAAAUAAAGAUGAAUAGCUAG
Gallus gallus (chicken) is the source of this 2445-nucleotide long non-coding RNA. NCBI's taxonomy places the organism in Eukaryota, Metazoa, Chordata, Aves, Galliformes, Phasianidae. The record is from Ensembl.